RNAcentral lists this ribosomal RNA (513 nucleotides) under uncultured bacterium. RNAcentral describes it as "bacterial SSU rRNA". It matches the Rfam family "Bacterial small subunit ribosomal RNA", at positions 791 to 1308 of the family's 1533-position model. The record is from RNAcentral.
UAGUCCACGCCGUAAACGAUGGAUACUAGCUGUGUGGUUUUCGGACUGCGCGGCCAAGCGAAAGUGAUAAGUAUCCCACCUGGGGAGUACGUUCGCAAGAAUGAAACUCAAAGGAAUUGACGGGGGCCCGCACAAGCGGUGGAGCAUGUGGUUUAAUUCGAUGAUACGCGAGGAACCUUACCAGGGCUUAAAUGUAGAUUGACAGGUUUAGAGAUAGACUUUUCUUCGGACAAUUUACAAGGUGCUGCAUGGUUGUCGUCAGCUCGUGCCGUGAGGUGUCAGGUUAAGUCCUAUAACGAGCGCAACCCCUGCCGUUAGUUGCCAGCAUGUAAAGAUGGGGACUCUAACGGGACUGCCGGUGCAAACCGUGAGGAAGGUGGGGAUGACGUCAAAUCAUCACGGGCCCUUACGUCCUGGGGCCACACACGUGCUACAAUGGCCGGUACAGAGAGCAGCCACUUAGCGAUAAGGANCGAAUCUAUAAAGCCGGUCACAGUUCGGAUCGGAGUCUGC